RNAcentral lists this transfer RNA (67 nucleotides) under Bathyraja multispinis (multispine skate). Its description in RNAcentral is "tRNA-Ser". RNAcentral also lists the same sequence under 1 other name. The record is from RNAcentral. Lineage: Eukaryota; Metazoa; Chordata; Chondrichthyes; Rajiformes; Arhynchobatidae.
AAGAGAGGUCUGGGACAAAAAGAACUGCUAACUCUUUUAAUCAUGGUUCAAUUCCAUGGCUCACUUA